ACCUGUUUGGCCAAUCGACCCCACUCCUGCCACCCCGCCCCGGCCAGCCUUCCAGACCGAGCAAGUCCGGUCCCUUCAGCUCUCGGCACACGCCCCCUGUCCGCUCUCGGACCCGGGAUCCAGGCCGGGCCACAUGCUCCCCUCCCUCCCCUUCCCGGUCCCAGCCGGCCGUCUCCGCCAGCCCGCCGAGGCCCUCCGUGCGGCCGGGCUGCGCUCCUUCCCCAGCCCCCGGGACGUCAAAGACAAAAUGCCGGCUUCGGUCUGGGGGCUGGGGGGUACAGGUCUGAGGACUGCACCGCGACUCUGCCCACCCCCCUUCUGCUCAACACCCUCCUCUCCCACAAGGAUUCGCGCGCGUCCUCGGACCCCUUACACUUCGCGACAGGAAGACUGAGGCCGAAGGGAAGCGAACGCUUCUCAGACGUGGUGGCCGGACUGCGACUUUUUCAAACUAAAGUCUGGCUUCCUGCCCUUCCCGCCUACAGGCGCUGAGCCCUGGAACAGUCCCUGAAAAACCCCCUGCACGAGAGAGAAUAUGUCUCGGAGCCUGCCUCCCAGAAAACCCAGCCCGUGAAGGGGAGCGCGGGAGGCACUCGCUGUGCGUCCUGCUGACGGGAAUGACCCAGGAGAGGGGGAGAGGUACCCCUCACAACAACUCUGAUACGGGAGUAUCGUUAGUCCCAUUUUCUUGAGGAAGAAACGGAGUCUCAAGAGGAGGUUAAGUUGGCCCAGGUCAGGUGAGUAAAUGGAGGAGUUGAGGCUUGGCCCCUGAGAUUCUGAUUCUUUAUCUGCUGCUACUCUGGCUGAAGCCAGGAAGGCUGUGUAGCAUCUUUGAACAGCUUUGGAAACGGGCCGGGUCGAGUGCAAGUGAACCACGGGCACGGUGACCGGCCACCCAGCUCAGCUCUUCUCUUCCCACUCUGGAGCAGUUCCUCUGUCCCACCCCCCACCCCCUCCACCCCAGCAACCAGUGUCCUUUGCCGCCAUUCGGUGUUAUCAGACCAAACCUGCUUCCAGAUUCCUACUCUUCAAUCACGUUCGUGCUUUCAGCAGAGAGGUGUGGGUUCCUGCAGGAAGGGCCAGGAGGCUGACGUGGCUCUGCCGUUCCAUUCCUCCCUCGGCCUUGGCCUCCCCAUCUAUUUGAGGAGGUGGGUUCUUUUCGAACCGACGGAGCUACCGAACCCUCGUUUCAAACGAAAAAUUUUACGCAAGCCCCGUAUUCAGGUCAGAUGAAAGCCGGCUGCUCUGAGCGGAGCUGAGUUCGGGGAAGAGGGGGGGGGGUCUCUCUUAUUUUGGCAUCUUAUUGGGACCCCCCGGAUUCUUCCAACAGUUGGAAAACCCCUGGCCUGGCCAGAGUCUGUUGACUCUUGAGGUUCUUAGGACUACGGAAUCUGAGCUCCACUGAUGGCUGACAAUACCCGCAGUGCAGGUGGUCAGCUAAGUCCCUCCCUGGGUGUCCCCGUCCCCCUGAACACCUGUCCUGCCUUGAUAGGGGCACCCAGGGCCAAACUCAGGAGGGGCAUGGCAGCAAGGCCAGGUUGUGCCCAAGGCCCUGCCUCUGGAGCGAUGAGCUGUCCGGGAGCGUGAGCGCAAAGAAAUGAUAUCCGCCUGUCCGCACAGGCCCGUGGGGUCAGCCUGCCGGGCACACUCGCUGGUGACCGUGAGGAGAGGCUAGUCCCCUCCCACUGCUGCCUAUGUGUUGUCUCUCUCUUGUCUUCUCCCUUCUCUAAAAACAUGUUUUUCAUCCCUCCCUCUCUCUCCUUCCUUCUAAAAAGCUCAGCUUUCUUUGCCGGGCCUGCGGCUGCAGGGGGUGCGGCCCCAGGACGGAGACCUCACACACAAAGACAGCUGCGUCCUGGAGCAAUCAGCACUGGCAAUCGCAGGAGCUGGGACCGCCUCCUGGAGGCAAGGGUCACCAAAGGGCACCGACGCAUGUGUGGGAGUUAGCCCAGUUCGGGGACACUGCAGGUGGGAGGAUGUGGGCGCCCCAGGCUCAGAAGAGAGGCCUGGAGAGGCUGUCAGUCCCUGGGCGUGGCUGAAGUGUGGACUUGGGGGGGGGGGGGCGUGUGGCAGGUGCAGUGAGACAGGCACCCUCGAAAGGCUGUCCCAGGGCUGUGGGCUGGUCCUGAGGGCCGUGGGGAGCCAGGAGCGAUGGGGAGAUCAGUGCACAUUUCAGAAGCUCAUCUGGCUGCACAUUCAUUUGGGGCAGGGGGGAGGGGGGAGACUGUGAAAGUGGGGCUUUCCUUCCCCUUGUCACCACCCCCUCCCCUGCCCUUACCUUCCCUCAACAUCCUCCAUGUGGCCCUGUUUCCCUCUGAGACAUAUCCUGCGCACAGAAGAGAAUAGGGGCUUUGGGCGGCCGGCUGUUCCCACCUUGGCCUGGCCCCCAGCUUGGAAUGCAGCCCUUGACCCCUUCACCCCCAGGACCAUGGGGUCAGAAUGAGUUGGAAAGUCCAUGCAGAUUGGCUGGGAUGCUUUGAUUUUAGGCCCUCUGUUUGUGAACAGGAACUCAAGCAGAAGGUUAGCUUCCCCACCCCCUUCUAGUCCUUUCUAUCUAACUCUGGGCUCUGACAGCCCCUGCCCCAGCCUUGCGGCCCCUCUUGGCUCUCGGAUCACUGCCUUCCCACCCCCCAUGCUGCGGUGGGGGAGGGGGAGGUUCCAUUCCCAAACACAAGCCCUUUUGUCCCACCAUUCAGCCGGGCAUCUGCGUUGGCAUCCAGUGGGCAUCCACACUCACUUAGCCUGGGGCGGCUGCAGGACGAGGUGGGCACUGAGGGGCAGGGACCAGGGGCAGGAGUGCAGACGAUUGCUGGCUACAUUUUGGACCCUGCCCCUCCCCUGCUCAGAUCCCUUCCAGGGCUCCUGCUUACUGCGGGACGGGACGUCAUCCUUAACCAGGGGCGAUUUUAUCCCGCAGGGAACAUUUUUCAAUGGCCGGAGACAUUUUUGAUUGUCACCACUUGGGCUGGGGGAGGGGCAGGACAGCCGGCUGGACAGAGUUGUCUGGCCCUAAAUGUCAAUAGUGCCAAGGCUGAAGGUCCUACCUGAGGGUAAAUCUGCCCCCACCACGUCUGCACUCAUCCCCCUCCCCCGCCCACCCCCCAGCCUUCUCAGCAGUCACUCCCAGGCUUCCGGCCAAACCCUCUAGAAGCUCACUCCCACCUCAGUCCCUUUGCUUCUGCUGUUUCUCCUGCUGAGGUGCGCUCCCUGCUGCCCUCCACUUACCUAAAUCUCAUUUCUCUCCACCCCCUCUAGCUGUGGGGGCUCUCCCCUGCUGCCCGCGCCAGCUGCCUCUCCCCGAAGCCGGCUCUGACUGCAUGGUGCCCUGAUUCCUCCCUUCACCUGACGGCUUUGGCCCUCCCAAGUCUCAGCCGGCACAUCUACGUAACGGGUGGGACAGGCAGGUGGAGACAGGCCCUCCUGCUUCUGCCUGGAACGCUGGGCGUAUGGGGCACUCUGUGUUGGCACACGGUGGGACCCAUGCGGGCUUUGGAGUUAGCGGGCCAAGGUUCGAAUCCUGACUCGGCCACUUCCUGGUAGUUUGACCAGAGGUUAAUCACCAAACGUCUCUGUGCCUCAGCUGCCUGCCUCCUUUGUAAAAUGGGUUUUCCAGAGAGAGUUCCACGUGCUGUGCGGUGUCCCGUCCCUGUCUUCGUUCCCUGUCUGGCUGGCUUAUCUUGUCAAGAUGCGCUGCCCUUCCUGGCCAAUUUCAGAUGGACAGCCACCUACUCCUGCCCUCCUACUUCUCCCUAGAAGCUGAGCUUGCAGGGACUUUGGGGAACGGAGGCCUCUGGAGCCUCAGCGCUGGAAACCAGCUGAGCAGGCCUGGGUGAGUGGCCAGGAGCCCAGCCGGCCUUCUUGGCUCCCCUCUCAGCUUCUCAGUCCCUUCCCAGGCUCGGCGUCUCCUGCUGGGACUGUGACCUCCCGCAGGUGGGCAGCCACCCGGACUUAGCUGACCUGGCUCAGGGGAGGGGACGCUCUGUUGCACAGAGGCGUAGAUUGGGGGUCUUAGGGAUUCUGGGGAGAAAAAGCACAGAAACAGACUCUUAAACACAGAGAAAAAAAACUGAUGG
Long non-coding RNA from Felis catus (domestic cat), 4073 nucleotides. RefSeq lists it as uncharacterized. The transcript is spliced from 4 exons. The record is from RefSeq and is a predicted model, not a curated record. Lineage: Eukaryota; Metazoa; Chordata; Mammalia; Carnivora; Felidae.